UAGGGAAGAGCAGCUGCCUCCCUCUGUCUGCCUGAUGGUAAGGCCAGCUGUGCUACUCCAAACACGAACUGCCGGUGGGCAGUUUCAGGGCCUCUUCCUUCUGUCCUGAAAAUUCUUUACCUUUAAACCAGACUUGGGCUGGAAAUGGAGGAUCCCUUCAAGUGGAUAAUUGUCCAGCCUUUCAAAGGCUUCCGUGCAGAAGGAACUGUUAGUAUGGUCCUGAUACGCCAUUCAUCGGAAUGACUAAGCCACAAAACUGUUUGGCCGUUAGCUGUCAGAACUGAUGAACUACACCACUAGCGACAAUGGGAGAGAACAGAACUAGUGCUUCCCAAGGUGUGGAGAAACUCCAAAAAGACUUGAAUUUUUCUCCUCCCUGCCUUCUGUUGGCACAUCACUGCUGCUCUACGGAUACUGAGACAUGUGGGGACUGUAUGUACAGAGCAGAGGCCCUCCUGCCUCCCAGCUUGCACCCUGGGUGUCUUUGGGGGGGGGAUCCUAGAUUUAUUUCACAUUUAAUGUACAUAGACAGGUUGUGCUGUGCUGUAGUGGUGUGCACACUGUCAGUGCAGAUGAUGGUAACAAGCCACUAUGCGGCUUUGCCCCUUCCCGGUGCAGAGAAAAAUGUAGACACUUUGCUAUGCAGCAUCCUGACCCUUGAGGAUGGAGGGAAACCCAGCCAGGAGUGGGCUGCUGGAUACUGCAAGGGGAAAUGCAGGAUGAUAAAGGGACUCUGUAGUCUUCCCCUUUUUUGUGGAAAGCAGCUCGGGGGAGGGAACUGGGAGAAAUGGACUAAAUUGCCUGCCCUAUGUGCCUCACUCUUACUCUGACUUGCAGCCUGUCCAAGCAUCUUUGGUUGAAAUAAAAGCAAAUAAAGGAAACAUUUAAACAUAACAUGCAGUUUGAGCUCGAGACAAAAAGAGCUAUCCAUUUCCAAAUGACAGCCCCAUACCAGGUAACUGGUCAUGCCAACCCAUUGCCUUCAAGGUUUUUGCUCUGCAUUGCUGUCUGUUUGUUUUUCUGGUUCAGUGAUAAACUCUUUGCUCUCUGGCCUUGCUGUGCUAAUAGGGAAAACUUUCCAUGACUUAACUGUCAGAGAACAGAGACAGGCAGGCCUGGCUGGGACAGCUUUUCCAAUCCCACUUUGGAUCCUGAUGAAAAGAGGGCUGUGCAGUAACUUGUCAACAUUCCAUACAUCCCGUCCAUCAUCAAGGAAGUCUCGGGUUGUUUUGUUCAGCUGCAGAAGUUGCACUGGGGUGGACAAACAACUGUGAUGCAAGACGUAAAGGAGAGACAAUAUGUUCUAACUUUUCUCUAGGACUAGGACACUUCCAUCAUAAUUUAGGACACUUUCAAGAAUGUGUGUUCCCUUCCCCGACUUGGUAUGCAGUCCUAACUUGUCCAAAGGAGGGGUGAGCAAAGAACAGUCUGCCUGAGGUUGUCAGGUUGCAGCUCCCAUGAGCCUUUCCCAGCAAAGCCAAUGGUGAGCUUUGCUGGGAGCUGCAGUCCAACAACAUUUACAUUUUGCCGCUCCUUCUCUUUUUUAAAGCUUCUACCUUAACAGCAGACUUUGUAAACAAAAGGGAAAAAAUGUUCUCUCCUGCCUCUGAAUUCAAAGAGAACCCCACCUCUUUGCUCAGCCCUUUGCCCCUUUCUUGAGUUUGCUGAAAUCUGUUGUUAAAAGUGCUCAUGUUGUUAA
Molecule: non-coding RNA, 1699 nt
Organism: Pogona vitticeps (central bearded dragon)
Lineage: Eukaryota; Metazoa; Chordata; Lepidosauria; Squamata; Agamidae
Source: RefSeq, a predicted model, not a curated record